CCCCAGGCGGUCAACUUCACGCGUUAGCUACGUUACUAAGGAAAUGAAUCCCCAACAACUAGUUGACAUCGUUUAGGGCGUGGACUACCAGGGUAUCUAAUCCUGUUUGCUCCCCACGCUUUCGUGCAUGAGCGUCAGUGUUAUCCCAGGGGGCUGCCUUCGCCAUCGGUAUUCCUCCACAUCUCUACGCAUUUCACUGCUACACGUGGAAUUCUACCCCCCUCUGACACACUCUAGCCGUGCAGUCACCAAUGCAAUUCCCAAGUUAAGCUCGGGGAUUUCACAUCGGUCUUGCACAACCGCCUGCGCACGCUUUACGCCCAGUAAUUCCGAUUAACGCUUGGACCCUACGUAUUACCGCGGCUGCUGGCACGUAGUUAGCCGGUCCUUAUUCUUCCGGUACCGUCAUCGACCCCAGGUAUUAACCAGAGCCAUUUCUUUCCGGACAAAAGUGCUUUACAACCCGAAGGCCUUCUUCACACACGCGGCAUUGCUGGAUCAGGCUUUCGCCCAUUGUCCAAAAUUCCCCACUGCUGCCUCCCGUAGGAGUCUGGGCCGUGUCUCA
This 565-nucleotide ribosomal RNA is filed under the name uncultured Ralstonia sp. Its description in RNAcentral is "partial 16S ribosomal RNA". The record is from RNAcentral. Lineage: Bacteria; Pseudomonadati; Pseudomonadota; Betaproteobacteria; Burkholderiales; Burkholderiaceae.